Molecule: ribosomal RNA, 492 nt
Filed under: uncultured bacterium
Lineage: Bacteria
Description: partial 16S ribosomal RNA
Rfam family: Bacterial small subunit ribosomal RNA
Source: RNAcentral
AGUGAACGCUGGCGGUAGGCCUAACACGUGCAAGUCGAACGGCAGCUCAGUAAGAGCUUGCUCUUACGGGUGGCGAGUGGCGGACGGGUGAGGAAUACAUCGGAAUCUACUUUUUCGUGGGGGAUAACGUAGGGAAACUUACGCUAAUACCGCAUACGACCUACGGGUGAAAGCAGGGGAUCUUCGGACCUUGCGCGAUUGAAUGAGCCGAUGUCGGAUUAGCUAGUUGGCGGGGUAAAGGCCCACCAAGGCGACGAUCCGUAGCUGGUCUGAGAGGAUGAUCAGCCACACUGGAACUGAGACACGGUCCAGACUCCUACGGGAGGCAGCAGUGGGGAAUAUUGGACAAUGGGCGCAAGCCUGAUCCAGCCAUACCGCGUGGGUGAAGAAGGCCUUCGGGUUGUAAAGCCCUUUUGUUGGGAAAGAAAAGCAGCAGGUUAAUACCCCGCUGUUCUGACGGUACCCAAAGAAUAAGCACCGGCUAACUUCGUG